AUGCCCUUCUCCCUCCUCCUCCUCCUCCUCAUCUUCUUCCUCCUGUACUCCACCCCCUCUCUCUUUGUUGCUGCUUUAACUUUUUUGGAUCACGAAACUUCCAUGGUUUUUCUCCCCCUUUUGCUUCCUCAUCUCAUGUGCUGCUGUGAGAGGCAGGCAGGAAGGAGGCAGCUAUGGUGGCGGUGGCGGCAGAUCUGCAAUACCUGGCUGCAAGUGGAAAGCUGGCACGUAGCCGAUGGCGACGGCGGCUCCCAGAUCUGUGGGAACGUUCGCUUGGUUCACUUUUGA
Molecule: ribosomal RNA, 288 nt
Filed under: Triticum aestivum (bread wheat)
Lineage: Eukaryota; Viridiplantae; Streptophyta; Magnoliopsida; Poales; Poaceae
Description: partial small subunit ribosomal RNA
Source: RNAcentral